RNAcentral lists this transfer RNA (75 nucleotides) under Sphaerodactylus townsendi. RNAcentral's name for it is "tRNA-Ala". The record is from RNAcentral. Lineage: Eukaryota; Metazoa; Chordata; Lepidosauria; Squamata; Sphaerodactylidae.
GGAGGGGCUGUGGCUGAGUGGUAGAUCAUCUGCUUGGCAUGCCAGAGGUUCCAGGUUCAAUCCCCAGUUCCUCCA